UUUCAAAAUACUAUAUGACAAUCUUUUCUUUUGAUAAAUAUUAAGCGAUGUGAAUUCUUGAAUGACAAUAACAGCUGUUUUAUAAUCUUUCUAACGGCAGUGAGAACACUGUUGGGUUAUGAAAUGCUUAAAUGUAAUCUAAUCUUUGAAAUUUUCGGUCUGAACAUAGUAUAAGAUUACGAUGACUAGAUUAGAUAGAUUCAUUGCUAUAAAAUAAAUGUGUUUGUUUACAUUUUUUUCCCUUUGUAGUGUCUAAAUCAGCUGUGAUAAUGUAACAGAUUUCCAAUGCUGACAAGUAGAUGGCGCAAAAUCAGAGUCGCACAAAGACAUUUUGCGUGGAUCAGUUUGAAAUCAUUUCAAUGAAGUGAUUUGGAACUGUCAUUUUUGUAUGGCGAAAUCUGGAUAAAUUUAUAAGAUUAGUGGGAUAAACCACUCAACAGCCGAAAUCGUGUGAUUAAGUGACGGUCUGAACAUAGUAUAAGAUUACGAUGACCGCCAUUACGAAACGUCAUAGUUCCGCGUUGAGAAGAACAAGAGUGAAAAACUGUCAAAUGGCUUGCAAAUUGUAAACAGAAAAGUAAACACUUUUGUAAAUUCGUAAAAUAGUGGGCAUAAGUCUAUUCGAGUACAUACAUAUAUUUAUUUUUGUAAAUUCAGACAAUAUUUGCUCAAGUGCAUUAUACAAUGACAUCAUUCUUGAUUGAAUAAAUACUAGCGCCAUAUUCUUCAUGCCGUUUGAAAAACACAGCGCGGAAAUUAUGUGUGCUCUAGAUCAACCAAUUUUUUACGAAAUGCUAACCAACCCCUGCGUAUAGAAUGCUAUGAACUUUCACCUCAAUUGGGCAAAAAAGUUAAACUUUUGAGUUGAUAACAAAAGUUCCUCACAUUUGUGAUUUUUUUUGGUAGAUUUUUUGAUUGGUUCAUAAGAUGUUCAAUUUUCCAAAAUCGAUUACUAAACUGUCAACUGUUGUCAAAUGUGACAAAUUUCACUUAAUGAUCUUUAUCUUACAGUAAAUGCUCAUAGUUGAGGGACUUGCUUGUUGCCCACCACCAGAUAACAGUUUUUUUUUUCUGAAGAACUGCCAAACAAUGAAAUCAAAUAAAAGUCCUACUCUCAUUAGCAGUAAUGAGCUAGUGGAGUAUUCGAAGCAACGUUCCAAUCUCGGUGUUGACUGAAACUCCAGUUCUCUGAACUAGUUCUGACGAAGGUUGGGGGAUAAUUUGCAAACCUUUGGUGAUUAUAAAUCAAAUUCCCAUCACACGCUACAUAAAUAACCACUUACAAAGUUAUUUGAAGAAUGAAAUGAUGUGUAUUCCUAAGGGCUUUCCAGUUAAUGCAUCAGCUUUUGUUCCACGUUCUCGAGGAAAUGACAUUGAUUCCAUUUGCGCUUAGUACAGCAGCCUUCAAAUUCACCAAAUUUGUCUUAAAUUAGAGAAGUAAAUCACUGUCAGAAUCAAAAUUAUGCUCUUCCCAACUUGAAUGGACAGCUAGGAGGAUUGAAAGAAUAUUAUAUGACUACCGUUGGUUCUUCUGACGAAUAAUUCGAUUUUAUUUUCUUAACUAAAAAGCUCUUCACAGCCUGUAAACUUUAAGUUCUUUGUUUUUUUCAUAUUUUAAUUUAUUUAAACAUAUAUUUACAAAUUAUAUGUAUUAUGUAACUUAUAUUUUUAACGUAUAUAUAAUCAAACAAACUUCCUUCUAAUUAGUUAUUAAAUAUAAUUUACAAAAUUUUCUUA
Molecule: long non-coding RNA, 1737 nt
Organism: Bactrocera dorsalis (oriental fruit fly)
Lineage: Eukaryota; Metazoa; Arthropoda; Insecta; Diptera; Tephritidae
Exons: 2
Source: RefSeq, a predicted model, not a curated record